Molecule: non-coding RNA, 29 nt
Filed under: Mus musculus (house mouse)
Lineage: Eukaryota; Metazoa; Chordata; Mammalia; Rodentia; Muridae
Source: RNAcentral
UGGAGAUGAGGCCAUGGAUUUGACUGCUU